ACCUACGGGAGGCAGCAGUGGGGAAUAUUGGGCAAUGGGCGCGAGCCUGACCCAGCAACGCCGCGUGAAGGAAGAAGGCUUUCGGGUUGUAAACUUCUUUUCUUGGGGACGAAGAAAGUGACGGUACCCAUGGAAUAAGCCACGGCUAACUACGUGCCAGCAGCCGCGGUAAUACGUAGGUGGCAAGCGUUAUCCGGAUUUAUUGGGUGUAAAGGGCGUGUAGGCGGGAUUGCAAGUCAGAUGUGAAAACCACGGGCUCAACCUGUGGCCUGCAUUCGAAACUGU
Molecule: ribosomal RNA, 285 nt
Filed under: uncultured bacterium
Lineage: Bacteria
Description: partial 16S ribosomal RNA
Rfam family: Bacterial small subunit ribosomal RNA
Source: RNAcentral